GGAGAAAGAUUAGAGAUCUCUUUCCUGAUUGUAGAGAUCUCAGUGAAAUGAGAUGCAAAGUUUGUGGUGGACAAGGUGGUGGAAGGAGGGGGAGUCACAGGGCGAAGAAGUGCGUCAAAAGUGUGAAACAGGUGUUUGGGUUGGUGGGACAGUGUGCUUAUGAGGGUGUUGAAGUAGCUUACUUUUGCAGAGGAAAGAGCCAU
Pelobates cultripes (western spadefoot toad) is the source of this 203-nucleotide non-coding RNA. Lineage: Eukaryota; Metazoa; Chordata; Amphibia; Anura; Pelobatidae. The record is from the annotation of a GenBank genome assembly.